RNAcentral lists this non-coding RNA (99 nucleotides) under Bacillus lumedeiriae. Its description in RNAcentral is "partial 23S ribosomal RNA". It matches the Rfam family "Bacterial large subunit ribosomal RNA", at positions 2826 to 2925 of the family's 2925-position model. Lineage: Bacteria; Bacillati; Bacillota; Bacilli; Caryophanales; Bacillaceae. The record is from RNAcentral.
UAGUAAGAUCCCUGAAAGAUGAUCAGGUAGAUAGGUUCGAGGUGGAAGCGUGGCGACACGUGGAGCUGACGAAUACUAAUCGAUCGAGGACUUAACCAA